Non-coding RNA from Cuculus canorus (common cuckoo), 1124 nucleotides. The record is from the annotation of a RefSeq genome assembly. NCBI's taxonomy places the organism in Eukaryota, Metazoa, Chordata, Aves, Cuculiformes, Cuculidae.
UUGUGGUGGCUGCCGAGGUUCCUCAGGAAGGCAGAAUGGUGCACUUGGUGGGGCCGUGGCUCCUGGCCUUGUCCUUGGCCACGGGACCAGGAGGCCUGUGGGCGCAGUGGAGGUUAACGGAGGCUGGUGGAGGACUGCAAGCACCCGGGGAUUCCGUGCUCCUCUCCUGCCAUGGGUCUGGCUUCCCCUUCAAAAAUUAUGGAGUUUGGUGGUACCGCCAGGCACCUGGUGCCAGACUCGAGUGGGUGGCUGCUAUUAGGUAUGAUUCCACCAUCAUUAAAUACGGGCAGUCAGUGCAGGGUCGAGCCACAGUUUCCCGAGACAAUUCCCGGUCCGAGGCAUAUCUGUCCCUGCAUGCCCUGCACGCCCACGACUCUGCCCGCUACUUCUGUGCUAUUGACACAAAGACAGGAAAUGCAGCUGAGCUUGAACAAAAACAUGCUGGGGCCCAGGACAGGGUGCAUGAGGUUUGGAUCAGCCGAGUGCUGAGGUGGCUCAGGGCUCUUCGCCAAGGUUUUCCUGACAUUUCUCCAAGAGCUCCUUUCCCAGAACUGCCAUUUUCCCACUGUUCAGUCCCACAUUCUCUGCUUUAUCCCGUGGAGGUGGUUCAAUGAGUUUCAGUCACCCAAGCAGCCUGACCACCCAGCCUGCCUGAAGACCCUCUCUGCCUUCCCUUGGUCGCCUUCUUCCCUAGCGACCAUGAAACCUGGGCUUCAGGGACAAGAAUGACUCAUGGGGUUGUUCCUUGUGCCAGUGACAGCAAAGCCCUGAGAGAACAGCCCUUCUUUUGAACCAGGUGCAUUUCAGGGUGCUCACCAUCUCUCACGCUUACCUACCCUUGCAUGCCCGCACCCCCAGCACUCUGCUCACUACUUCUGCGUCAUUCGCAUGGGGAUGGGAAAUGCAGCUGAGCUUGAGCAGAAACCAGCUGGGGCCCAGCACAGGGUGUAUGGGGUUUGGAUCCAGUGAGUGCUAAGGUGGCUCACCAAAGGUGAAAGAUGACAUCACUGCACAGUGCAGAUGGUCCUGGUCUUUCUGCAAGAACUCCUUUCCCAACACUGCCAAUUUCCAUCUUCUUAUUCCAUGUUCUCUGUCUGCAGAGCUGUGGGCAGAGCCAAAAGUGA